GGGUGUUCUGAAGACCUGCCGACUAGGCUACAAACGAAGAACUUGGAUUCUAUCACAUGCCUAGGGGAAAGUCCCCGGACGAUAGACAGAAAGUGUCCUGCUUCAUUGCAGUGCACGACUAGAAUUCGACGAUCGAGCUAAGAUACUUCUCGGAGUUGAGCUCGAAGCAUUCUAGUCGUGAUUGUCAAUGUAACAGUAAUGCAGGUGUUAAAUUGACACCAACAGAACGGGGCUCAUUCUCAGAAUGCA
The sequence is a ribozyme, 249 nucleotides long. It matches the Rfam family "RNase MRP". Rfam says of the family: RNase MRP is an enzymatically active ribonucleoprotein with two distinct roles in eukaryotes. The record is from Ensembl.